GAGGCCAGUCAGAGGUGCAGCAGAAAAUGGAUGAGCCUCCAGAAGAGGCUCCAGAUGGAUCCUUGAACAGUGAAAACCCAGGCCAGUCCCCAAAUAACCAGGAGACCUACAUAGAAGGAGGAGCAGGCCAGGCUCCUCAAAGAGGUUCUGAUGAUGCUGGGGUUGGACCAUCCGAGCAAACUGGUGACAAGGCAUCCAACCAAGAUGCUAGUGCAGGAUCCGGACAGACUGACCCAAGAACUUCAGAAGAGGCUUCUCAGCCGACUGACCACAGGUCCCCUGGUCACACUGACAGGAGACCAUCUCAGCAGGUUGACCGUAGAUCAUCUGGCCAGGCUGAGAGAAGAACUUCUAAGCCAACUAGUCAGCAACUGCCCAGCCUACACGAGAGAAAAGUCUCCGAGAAGAUAGAAGACCAAGCGUCUUUGCCAUCUGGUGGGAAAACUUCUGAGCAGGCUGAUGAAGGAACUGGGGAGUAUGGCGAGCACACCUUAUCAGACCAAGAUGACUAUAGAACAUCAGGAAAGAGUCAACGCCAGUUCACCAACCAAGCUGAUGUCCUGGAUGAAGAUGCCACUGAUCAACGUAAGUUUAGUGAAGGUUCAGAAAGGAACUAUGACAGUACUAGCCAUGAGACAGAAAAACCGGCUGACUACCGUUCAUACUACAAAACAAUUGCCCAGGCUGAGAACCGGUCGUUAGCUGAUAUCGGUGACACCAAAGAGGUCAAAGAAGCUGACUUCAAAAUAGAGCCUUGCACCUUUGAAGAUAGCCAAACGGACCUCAAAUCCAAGGUUUCAACUGCUGGGGAAACAGAAAGUACAACCACUAUCCAAGCUUACAACCUACACGAUACCGAAUUCACCAGUGACUCGCAGUCCUCGUACGAAAAACUGCCCUCCAUCACAACCAAAACGUACUAUUCCUCCAGCCAAGACAAAUUUCAAAGCACAGAAAUCACUACUGAUAUUCAAACCGAAAUUGAGCCAAGAAAGGGUUCUCAGAGAACCAGUCAAACCUACACGAGGCGGUUCCCUCCAAUCAUUUUUGAAGACCCUUACCAAGUUGCACUCCGCUACAUGGAAAAGCACAACAUUCUCCAGAUAUUCCAGCAUAUCACUGAAAACCUCGUCUAUGAAAAGCCGGAUGAUCCCCUGUAUUUCAUGCUCGACCAGGUACGGAGUGGGAGAGUGGACAACCCUUCUAUUCUCAUUGUCAGAAAACGACCUACACAGACAGACGAACAAAGCAAGCCAUGAACAGCUCCGAGUCGCCGUGAAGGAAACACACCGCAGCUUCCAUUCGAGAGUUUUCAUCGAAGUACAGAACAAAGCUAGGGAUGGUGGCUCACAUCGUGAACGCCAGUGCUCAGGAAGCAGAGGCAGACAGAUCUCUGUGAGUUCGAGGCCAGCUAGGGCUACGUAGUGAGACCCUGUCUCCAACUGAAAAAGAACAUCCCUGGCGUCACAGAAGCCUUCCUCAUCAUGACUUCCCACGAAGGAAUUGCUUAUUUUGACCUUUGCAAUAACUUGCUCACUUUUCUUUAAAAUAUUACUGCUGAACAUGAAUCGUGAAACACUUCUAUUUAGACCUGCAAGCUCUCUGAAUUGAACUAUCUAUGCUCAGUACUGUUUUUGUCUUACCUCUUUUGCCCAAAAUUAUGUCUAUGAGAUGGAUCCAUCUAUUGUGUUCAUGCAUUUUUGUCACUCCAUGCUAUUCAUCACGUAGAAUACUACGGCUGAGCCAUUCUUUUUUUUUUCAUGGACAUGCAGAUUAUUUCCCAUUUGGAGCUAUUACAAAAAAAUCUUGCUGUGAGCUUUCCCAUUCAUGUCGUUCAGUGAACGACACUGCUUGCUUUAAUCACCGGAUUGUAGAACACGUAUUUGCUUAGCUUCACAUGGAGUGUUUUCAUUUUCCAACAUGAGUGCACCAGUGUGCACCCCUUCCCCCGGCAGCUCUGUGGCUUUCCCAGUGUUCACUGUCGCCACUGUGUUUAGCCUUGGCUGUUCAGGUACAGGAGAUGAUCAGAUACAGGGAACAGCGGCGAAGCAUCUGAAGACGAGCCUCUCGCCAGCCUCGUGUCCUCUGCCAUCGGUGGCCGCGCUGCGCUCGGCUCUCACACGACAAAUGUGUUUUCAGUAGGCAUUGGUGGUGACUCUGCCUAAAUGUGUUCUCGAUUUUUAGAUAAAGAUACUGCCUGCUGAUGUCAGCCUGGAAGAUGAGCUGAAAGCUGAUUGACCAGCGGGAACCUAUGGAACAAACUAGAGUGAUGUAAACUAAUUGUGCGGUCGAACAAAAUAACCUAAGGACUGAGAGGCCAUUCCUAUUAUUAGUGACAGGAAUAUGGAGUAUUAGCCAUGGUGUAUUAGCAUUGAAUCCAUGCCAGGUUGGUGCUGCAUACUUUUAAUUCUAGCAUUUAAAAACCAAAGAAGGACAAUCUGAAGUCCAAGACCAGCCUGGGCUAUGUAACAAGAUGAUCUCAAAUAUAAAAGGAAACAAAAAGGGGCCUGAUAAAAUGGCUCAGUGCAUAAAAGCACUUUCCUCAAAAGCCGGACAACCUGAGGUCAACCCCUGAAUCCCACAGUCAAAUGAAGGAACUGACUCUGGGAGAGGGUAAAAAAGUUGUCCUCUGACCUCUACACUGUCAUUGCGGUGUACGUGUCCCACCAUGUCUUCCCCCACACCACCAUGCCCUCACCACACAUGCAUCAUUCACAUGCCACACACAGACCUUCACAGCAAUAAUAAUACUAAAGAAAAAUCAACGUUGAAGCAUUGAAUUUAGUUCAUGUUUGGCCCUAGUAUUAGCAAGUUUUCUCAAGUUUCUAGAGGCAGGGCAGAACACCUCAGAUCCAACCUCUCCGGCAGCUGCAGCUCCACCCUUAGGUUGUUUCAGAUGCCUUUCGUCACGGUCAUCGUCCAUUUGUGACCUUCCAUAGAGAGGCAGUGGACCAAAGGGGACCAGCUGCCUAUGAUUCCUUCUGCACGUAGUUACCUGAGAAAGAAGAAGAUGUACACAACACUUCACACGCAGUGACUCAGGCUCUCUCCAGAAAGGCAUCCAGUGCAGAUCGACCAAAAGGAGUCCCUCAGCAGCAGGAAGUAGUCCCUCACAGGCCAGAAGUAAACACUCAACGUGGGAAUCUGAGAGCUGACAACUGUGGAACAGAAACGGGUUGGGGGGACAGGUGGGACUCUCGAAACUGGCCCUUUAUGAGUAAAAUGCAGAGAAAGUCUCAGUGGACAGUAAACUGAGAUUGGAA
Molecule: RNA transcript, 3263 nt
Organism: Peromyscus maniculatus bairdii (prairie deer mouse)
Lineage: Eukaryota; Metazoa; Chordata; Mammalia; Rodentia; Cricetidae
Gene: Tex55
Gene name: testis expressed 55
Source: RefSeq, a predicted model, not a curated record